Zea mays is the source of this 926-nucleotide RNA transcript. It is a transcript of the gene named DUF659 superfamily pseudogene, with no coding region annotated. The record is from RefSeq and is marked validated. The transcript has 2 exons. Lineage: Eukaryota; Viridiplantae; Streptophyta; Magnoliopsida; Poales; Poaceae.
CUAGUGAAGCUAAAUGGACCAAUUGAUGUGACUUGGAGCCAUGGUGAACCAUAUCCUGGACCUCAUGGGGCUGGCUUUAAGUGCUUUUAUUGUUUUACCACCAAAAAAGGCGAGGGGUGUCUCGAUUAAAAGAGCAUCUAGGUCACAUACCAGGGAGUGUGGAGGCAUGUCGUAAAGUGCCAAAUCAUGUGAAGGGCCUAAUGUCUCAAAAAGUAACGGAUGGGAGAAUUAGGAGGGCACGUGGUAAGAAGCUUCGUCUGUUUGUUGAAAAGGAGGUUAGUGCAACAAGACAUGGUUAUCAAAGUGCAAGAAUUCCUCUUGAUGAAGAAGCACAGAUUGAUAUGGCAAUGAGAAAUUCAUUGAGGGAUUCUUUUUCCACAUUGGAACAUGAUAGUUGUUCACCUUUCGAUAAGUCAGCUGGUAGUGCAAGUGGAGCUGCAAGUUGUUCUACAGGGAAGCAAAGCAGGCUGUCAAGGUACUACAAAAAUACACAAGAUACCUCUAGAGGUCCUUUUGACAUUGACUUGGCACGCAGUAGGACACAAGUGCAGCCACGCAUAGAUGUUAUGCUAGAGAGGGGUCAUAAAGAGAAGCUAGGGAUAACAUUGGCAAAAUGGUUCCAUGCUAAUGACAUUCCUGGAAGGAAGGCGGACUGCCCAUACUUUCGUUCAGCCCUUAAGUUAGCUCAACAACUUGGUGAUGGAGUACCAAUUCCAGGUGGGAGAGAAAUAGAUGGUCCAUUAUUGGAUAUGAAUUAUGCAAACAUGGAGGCUCACAUGGCUAAAUUCAAAGAGGAUUGGAAGGAUUAUGGAGUUACAGUCAUGUGUGAUUCAUGGACAGGUCCUACCAUGAUGUCCAUUAUUAACUUUAUGAUCUUUUACAAUGGGUGCAUGUUCUUCCACAAGUCAGUAAAUGCAACUGUCUAA